AACACUGGCCAUAGCGGGUGAUAGCCCCGUACACGAAAUGCGAUGUGUGGAACUAAGUAUGCGACAAGUAGGGCGGGACACGAGAAAUCCUGUCUGAAUAUGGGGGGACCAUCCUCCAAGGCUAAAUACUCCUGACUGACCGAUAGUGAACCAGUACCGUGAGGGAAAGGUGAAAAGUACCCCGGAAGGGGAGUGAAAGAGAACUUGAAACCGUGUGCUUACAAGUAGUCAGAGCCCGUUAAUGGGUGAUGGCGUGCCUUUUGUAGAAUGAACCGGCGAGUUACGAUCUGAUGCAAGGUUAAGCAGCGUAUGU
This 313-nucleotide ribosomal RNA is filed under the name Crypthecodinium cohnii. Its description in RNAcentral is "partial Bacterial large subunit ribosomal RNA". It matches the Rfam family "Bacterial large subunit ribosomal RNA", at positions 347 to 659 of the family's 2925-position model. The record is from RNAcentral. Lineage: Eukaryota; Dinophyceae; Gonyaulacales; Crypthecodiniaceae.